GGGGUGGGUUUCCGGCCAGGGUCUGUGAUCCCCACAGCAGAUCUCAUGGUAGGGGCAUGUGGCAGAACAUAGCUGCCUACUAUGUGGUGAUAAGGAAGGAGAGAGCCUUAGAAUUCCUUCAUCCUGAGGUGAUGUCUGUUCUUGAUGGUAGGGUUUAUUUAUUGGAUGCUGAAGAAGGGUGAAUCCCAUUUUCACAUUCAUUCUGUUAGUCUGUAUGUUUUUAUUGAGAAAUUGAGACCAUUGAUAUUUAGAGAUAUCAAUGACCAAUUCUAGUUGAUUCCUGUUAUUUAGGUGGUACUGGAUGUAUGUGUAUCUUUUUAUUAGAAAAUUGAAACCAUUAAUACUAAAGUUCUCAAUGAGUACUGUUUAUUUGAUUUUGUUAUUUUAUACUGUUAUGGUAUAGGUCCCAUGUUUUGAUUUACUAGUUUGGGAUUGUUUAUUCCUUGUGUAGUCUUGGAUGUGGUUAGUCUCUUUAGAUUCAGGUUUUACUUCUCAUGCCUUCUGUAUGACUAGAUUUGUAGAUAGAUAUACUUAAAUUUGAUGUUAUUUUGGAAUGUUUUUCUUUUUCCAGCUACUGUGCUAUUUUGUAAUAGGUUUUCUGUAUCUUGAUAAUAGGUUUCUCCACUGGCUCAAUAAGUCAGAUCAAGCCCAAUAGAAAAAGAAAAAAGUUGAGCAAAGCAGCUCCCAGAUGAGUUCUCCAGUCCCAGGAGAAGUCACAUGCCUGAUCUAACGAAGUAAAGUUAUAUAGCCUAUAGGUGAGGGGUAAUGACAUGUGAUAGUCUACAUGUGCUUUAAGAAAAGCUUCUUUGAUUAGGGGUAACGACUACACUUGGGUAUAAGGAUAAGAUUCAUAUUUAUAAGGAUAAGUUCACAUUUACCUAAAAUUAUAUACAUUGCGUAUAAGCAAAUAUAUAUACAUAGGAUAUACAUAAAUAACAAAUGAAUAUGAAGGAAAUUGUGCCUCUUAGGCUGACAAUGCUCUCCACAAGAACAAUACCAGGCACAGGAAAAUUCCUUUUGAAUGCUUGGUCAGGGUAUUCCAGUUAACUCUCAAGACAAUAUAGACUAUUGCUAAUGUUCUUUGCUGCUUCUCAGAAGUUGUGGUGCUGAAGACACCACCACACAGUAGAGACAAAGAGCUCAGAUUAUUUUAACUUAUUCUAACCUGAAAGCCACCUUCCUGCAUUCUAGCUUCCAUGGUACCAUGAAAUACUGUGCAAGCGGCCAUGAGAAAGAAGCAGUUGAUAGUCCUAACCAGCUGUGACAUCUGUGAACCACGACAGCAUGCAUUGUGAUUAGAACUCCUAGGAAAUUUGAGACGAGUUAAAGUUUCAAAGUGGAGAUCUUCUUACAAGGAGAUAAAUGUCCCUUCCAGUUAAGUGUGCAUUUAAUGGUUGCAAUGUCUCCAGCCUCCACUACCAUUACAGAGUUUGCCAGCCUUUUAUAGGCAUUUGAUGGAGACAGAAUUACCAUCAUCUGACCCUUCCACUUUUCUGAUGAGACCUGCAAAGGAGUGAAUACCAGCGUUCUCGGUCAACUCACACAUUCGUGGCAUGGGCAGAUUUGGCAACCAGGAUUUACGAAGACAAGCCUGUGGCACUGACUGCAUUUAUAUAAAGCCGAUGCUUUGUUGAAGGUAGAGAGCCUGUCAGAAAAUGAUAGAAGGCUAACAGUACCUAUAAUGCAUUGUCAGAGGGUUAGAGAUCACAAUGGUGGAGACAGCCCACAGCAGACAUGGUGACUGGAGCUGGAAGCUGAGAACUACCAUCUCAAACCACAAACAGUAAACAGACAUCUUUAACUCGGAAUGGUGAGUGGUUUUUGAAACUCACAGCUGGACCCUAUUAACAUAAUUCCUCCAGCAAGAUUGUACCCCUAAGACUCCUCAAACAGCACCAACAAAUGGGAAUGUCUCAUUCAAACCAUCUUAGGGUCUCUGAUCUCAAACUCAGAUCAACAGGUUUGAUGGGCCUCUAGCCACUUAAAUAGCUCACUGCCCCUUUAUCUGUAAAAGUUUUAUUGUGUUUUGAGGAAAUUAUCAUUUAUAGCUUUGGGGAUACCUUGGGAGCCCUGGGACUAAAUCCUAAUGUGCCUUACCAGUUCUGAAAAGCCUUUAGCUGUCAUGUCUUCAGUGUGGCCACUGUUCUUCCUAGACAUCUGAAGCUCAGGGUAUCUCCUUUUGCUUCUUCACUGUCUCACCUAAGCUUCCACAUUAUUAAUGGUCUCCUUUCUCUCUGGACUUAGUCAUUUCUUUUGGGUAUGGAUGUCUUUAUGACCCUUUCAUUACACAAUGGACUUUGCUUUUUUACAUUUAAUUUUUACAAUUUCAUUUAUGAGUACUGUUUUUUAUGUUUUGUUUUGUUUGCAUAAUUCCCAUGACUUCAUCUCCCUGCUACAACUCUUCCCAUGUUUUCCACUAUGGCCUCUCAAAUUCGCAGACUCUUAUUUAGUUAUAGUUAUACACACACACACACACACACACACACACACACACACACACACACAAUCACACUUCACACACACACACACACAUCACAUUUCACACACAAGUAAAUUUCCUGUUUAGUGUUGAUCACUUUGUACAUUUGUUUAAGACAGACUCGUUGAAAUUGGAUAAACCAUCAGAGGUUUAAUAUCCCUGGAAAAAACUAAUUCUCCCUCUCUCAACAGCCCUCAAUUGACUGUAGCUCUUCACCUGGAGGAGAGCCCCUGUGAACUUUCCCAGAUACUUGUUGACAUGUCAGUCUGGUUUUGAUUGACUUUAAUAUUUAGCCUUUCAGUUCCUUCCUUUUAACAAAUGCCAAGAUUAUAUUAGCUUAAAAUCGCCACCCACAUUUUCUUCAUACAACAUUAAUGUUAAUUUAAGUGAGAGACUCAUGUAAAAAUUUCCUAAUGCUUAUAAUGGUACAGGGGGACACCAACUUCUAGACAGACAAGUUUCUUUAAAAUCUUCAUCUAGCUCUAGGCAGAGUAUUUCCUUUUCACUCACCUUGUCUUUGAAGAUUUGAUACUUUGUGUUCUGUUCUGCAAUCAGGCAUUAACUAUGUAAGUCAUUUUAAUCAAAGCUAAUUUAGUCACUUACCUCCUUGUGUUCGUAAUUUUAUUUUAAUUUGAAAUUCCAUAUUCCUGUCUUUCAUGCUAGAUAGGCUAGGCAUUUCAGAAUAGCUUUGGUAGUAAACUAUACUCUACAAUCGUUGUUGUUUCAAGAGGAGAACCAUUUAGGACUUCUAUCUUGAAAAACUUUGUUUUUGUCAUGGAAGUCAACCUUGAGUCAGAAAAGGUAUUAACCCUUCCUGUAAGAACUCUUUUUAAAGUUUCUGGGAGCAGUAGGAGUUAGGAGUGUUACCUAGGCUACUAAAGUCAUACAGGAUGAGGCAAAGCCUAGUCUUAGAUAAUCAUGGAGGUAUGAUUGGGAACUAAGGCAGAAAAGAAGGCUACCCUGUUGUCUCGGUGUUUUCAUUGCUUUUAUAAAGAUCAUAACACUAAGCAGUUUGAGGAAGAAAGGGUUUAUUUUGCUUACACUUUCACAUCAUAGUUCAGUAUCCAAGGAAGUCAGGGAAAGAGCUCAAAGCAGAAAGUUGGAUGCAGGAGCAGAUGCAGAGGCCGUAGACAUAGAAGAGUGCUCACUAUGAGCUUAUUUACUCACGGCUUGUUCAGUAUGCUCUCUUAUAUCACCCAUGACCACCUGUGCAAGAUAAGUGUCUCCCACAGCAAGCUGGGCCAUCCAGCAUCAAUCUUCAAUCAAGAAAAUGCUCUAGAGACUUGCCUAUGGUCUACUCCUAUGAAAUAAUUUUCAAAUAAGACCCCUUCUCUUCUUACCAGGUAACCCCGACUCAUGUCCAGCUGGCAUAAAAACUAACAAGUAUACCCUGGGCCAAAGAAGCAGGAUGUGUCCAUCUGAGUGAGACUACAUUUAUACUAUAAUGAAAAAGACUUGCAAUCAUUGCCAAUUGAUUAGUUGCUCUGCCCCAGAAUGUACGACUAAAGAGAAUAGGUAUAGAGGGAAGUCAGAUAAUAGGUGACGAGGGUUCUGUCAGGAGAAAUGUGUCCCACAGUACAGUAUAGUGAUGAUAGUUUGUAACAACUCCCCAUUUAUCUUACGCAGUAGUAGAAAGGAGUCCAAAGGCUCCAAACAGGAAGACAUAAUAAGCAUCUGCAACUGCUAAUUAUCUUGAUUUGAUCAUUACAUCUUGCAGAUGUGAGCUAAAUUAUCACGGUUUAUACUGUAGACACGUACAAUUAUUAUGUGUUGGUCAGGAAGAGAAAAUGAAAUUGCAAGUGGAAUGGCAGAUAACACUGGGGACAAAAAAAUGGCAAAUGUCAGAUAAUAUACUUAGAAAAAGUCACCCAGAGGACAACAAACACUGAGAGAUCACCUGAAGAAAAAAAAGAUCUAAAAACAAUAUAGAGACAAGGAACAGAAAAUUAGGAAGGUAGAAAUGAGGUAGAACCCGAGAAAGGAAGGAAGCACACGCGGUGCAAUCAAGUGCAUCUUUGUCUCUUGUUUAGCUGGAAGGUUGGAGAUGCAAGACUCUAUGGAAAUCAUUUCCAGCCCUUGGGCAUGUGCUAAUUACUGCCCGUAGGGAGCCUCUGCGUUUCUUUCUUACUAAUGUUGAACAGGAUACAAAGAUGGCAAGAACACUGUUCCCAUGAUCUGGGAAAUCAACCUUUAUUACUGAUGUUUGCUUGUAAUUUUUUAGGUUUUUGUUGUUGUUGUUGUGGUUGGUGUUUUUGUUUAUUUGCUUGUUUUUUCAA
Molecule: long non-coding RNA, 4755 nt
Organism: Mesocricetus auratus (golden hamster)
Lineage: Eukaryota; Metazoa; Chordata; Mammalia; Rodentia; Cricetidae
Exons: 4
Source: RefSeq, a predicted model, not a curated record